UAAGACGUAGGAUGCGAGCGUUGUCCGGAUUUAUUGGGCGUAAAGAGUUCGUAGGUGGUUUGUUAAGUCUGAUGUUAAAGACUGAGGCUCAACCUCGGGAGUGCAUUGGAUACUGGCAGACUGGAGUGUAGUAGAGGCAAGCGGAAUUCCCAGUGUAGCGGUGAAAUGCGUAGAUAUUGGGAAGAACACCAGUGGCGUAAGCGGCUUGCUGGGCUAUAACUGACACUGAGGAACGAAAGCCAGGGGAGCAAAUGGGAUUAGAUACCCCAGUAGUCCUGGCCGUAAACGAUGGAUACUAGGCGUAGCGGGUAUCGACCCCUGCUGUGCCGCAGCUAACGCGAUAAGUAUCCCGCCUGAGUAGUACGGCCGCAAGGUUG
Molecule: ribosomal RNA, 377 nt
Filed under: uncultured bacterium
Lineage: Bacteria
Description: bacterial SSU rRNA
Rfam family: Bacterial small subunit ribosomal RNA
Source: RNAcentral